RNAcentral lists this non-coding RNA (810 nucleotides) under Pseudoglomeris angustifolia. Lineage: Eukaryota; Metazoa; Arthropoda; Insecta; Blattodea; Blaberidae. The record is from RNAcentral.
GAUAAGAUGAAAAACGAUGAGGGGUUUGAUUUUUUGUCUUAAAAUUUAGUAUAAAUUUAAUAUUAGAUGUAUAUGGUAAAUUAAAUUAAUUUGUUCUUAAAGAUAAAUUUAUAGAUUUGCAAUAAAAAGUAUUAUUAAUUGGUGAAGAUUUGAUUUAGUUAUUUUUAUUAAAUAUUGAUUAAAUAUGUGCCAGCAGUCGCGGUUAGACAUAGAAUAUAAUUAAAUUUUAUUGGUAAAAAGUUAUUUGUAAUAAUAAUUAAUCUUUAUAAUUAUUUUUAGGUGGAAUUAUAAAUUUUUAUAAAAAUUAAAUUAAAUGUUAUAUGAGGAGAAGCUGUGAAAUUCAUUAUAUAAACUAGGAUUAGAUACCCUAUUAUUUUGAAUUUAAAAUUGAAAUACUUAGGUAGUAAUAGUUAUGGUCUAAAAACUUAAAGAAUUUGGCGGUAUUUUAGUCUACUUAGAGGAAUUUGUCCCGUUAUCGAUAGUCCACGUUGAACCUAACUUUAGUUUUAAAUAUGUAUACCGCCGUCUGGAAAAUCUUUUUAGAGUUAAUUUUCUUUAUUUUUUAUUAAAUUAAAUUUCAGGUCAAGGUGCAGUUUAUAUUAAAGUGGAGAUGAAUUACAAUAUUUAAAUAUAUAUAUGAAUUAUAAAUUGAAAUAUUUAUAUGAAGGUGGAUUUAAUAGUAAUAUUAAAAAGAUUAUUAAUAUGAUUAUUUUAGCUCUAAAAUAUGUACAUAUCGCCCGUCACUCUCGUUUUAAGAUGAGAUAAGUCGUAACAAAGUAGGUGUACCGGAAGGUGUAGCUAGAAAUAAUU